UAGGGAAUCUUCCACAAUGGACGCAAGUCUGAUGGAGCAACGCCGCGUGAGUGAAGAAGGUUUUCGGAUCGUAAAGCUCUGUUGUUGGUGAAGAAGGAUAGAGGUAGUAACUGGCCUUUAUUUGACGGUAAUCAACCAGAAAGUCACGGCUAACUACGUGCCAGCAGCCGCGGUAAUACGUAGGUGACAAGCGUUGUCCGGAUUUAUUGGGCGUAAAGCGAGCGCAGGCGGAAGAAUAAGUCUGAUGUGAAAGCCCUCGGCUUAACCGAGGAACUGCAUCGGAAACUGUUUUUCUUGAGUGCAGAAGAGGAGAGUGGAAUUCCAUGUGUAGCGGUGGAAUGCGUAGAUAUAUGGAAGAACACCAGUGGCGAAGGCGACUCUCUGGUCUGCAACUGACGCUGAGGCUCGAAAGCAUGGGUAGCGAACAGG
This 429-nucleotide ribosomal RNA is filed under the name Acidobacteriota bacterium. RNAcentral's name for it is "Acidobacteria bacterium partial 16S ribosomal RNA". It matches the Rfam family "Bacterial small subunit ribosomal RNA", at positions 355 to 776 of the family's 1533-position model. Lineage: Bacteria; Pseudomonadati; Acidobacteriota. The record is from RNAcentral.